This 465-nucleotide ribosomal RNA is filed under the name Vreelandella stevensii. RNAcentral's name for it is "partial 16S ribosomal RNA". It matches the Rfam family "Bacterial small subunit ribosomal RNA", at positions 338 to 795 of the family's 1533-position model. The record is from RNAcentral. Lineage: Bacteria; Pseudomonadati; Pseudomonadota; Gammaproteobacteria; Oceanospirillales; Halomonadaceae.
CCUACGGGAGGCUGCAGUGGGGAAUAUUGGACAAUGGGGGGAACCCUGAUCCAGCCAUGCCGCGUGUGUGAAGAAGGCCCUCGGGUUGUAAAGCACUUUCAGUGAGGAAGAACGCCUGGUGGUUAAUACCCAUCAGGAAAGACAUCACUCACAGAAGAAGCACCGGCUAACUCCGUGCCAGCAGCCGCGGUAAUACGGAGGGUGCGAGCGUUAAUCGGAAUUACUGGGCGUAAAGCGCGCGUAGGUGGCUUGAUAAGCCGGUUGUGAAAGCCCCGGGCUCAACCUGGGAACGGCAUCCGGAACUGUCAAGCUAGAGUGCAGGAGAGGAAGGUAGAAUUCCCGGUGUAGCGGUGAAAUGCGUAGAGAUCGGGAGGAAUACCAGUGGCGAAGGCGGCCUCCUGGACUGACACUGACACUGAGGUGCGAAAGCGUGGGUAGCAAACAGGAUUAGAUACCCCUGUAGUC